AGCCACAACAUUUAGGAGCUGCCGAUACAAAGGCCUGACCCAGAAGAAAUUCUCCGUCACCUGUACCAUCAAGAUCAAGAUCAAGAUCAAGGCGGCCCUCCACGCCGAGGAGGAAAUUCACCAACCACAUCAUGAAAACAGGAAACAAACCUCUGGCCAGGGAACUUGUCGAGAAGGUGAAAGGUCACAACUAGUCAGCCGGGAGUGGGUCAGGAUGGCACGGCUGGCUGUGGUGGUGGUGGUGGUGGUGGUGGUGGUGUUGGCGGCAGCAGCGGCGGGAAGGCCAGACUACACGCUGUCCCACAAAUUUAUUGAAAUGUUGCAGAGUGAACAGUCCACUUGGAAGGUUGUGUCAAGAUAUGGAGGGAGAGAGAACAGCCAAGGAGGAGGAGGAACAGGAACAGGAAGAUAACAAGAAGAAGAAGAAGAAACAAUGAAUGAAGACAAA
RNA transcript from Portunus trituberculatus (swimming crab), 448 nucleotides. RefSeq lists it as uncharacterized. NCBI's taxonomy places the organism in Eukaryota, Metazoa, Arthropoda, Malacostraca, Decapoda, Portunidae. The transcript is spliced from 5 exons. The record is from RefSeq and is a predicted model, not a curated record.